CCUUCCUCUUUACACUUAUUCAACAACAUUCCCCUGUGCCUCAUGCUGAGUAAUUCUGCAGCCUCAGGGAGCACCCCACUAGUCUGGCAGAGGGGGAAACAGAGGCAUAUGCAGACACUUCCAGACUCAUGGGGUCAGGGUUGGGGCAGAGGGAAGGAUCAAGUGCUGGGAGAGCCUAGAGCCGAGAACAAUGAAGAGCCAAAGGCUAUCAUCCUGGGGGUGCACUGAAGAUGGAAAAUCUGCAGUGGGUUUUGAAAUAGCAAAUCAGAAAGAGAGGGGAGAAAAUCAGAAGCAGGGGUCAGACCUACUACCAGUUUCCUCGGGGGCCUCUGAAGACACAGCCAUUCCUCCAGCCAAGGAUCAGGGUGCUCAGAUGAGCAGCAGGGCGGCCGCCAGGUCUGGGGCAUCCCUCACCCACCAAGGCCUUCACGAAGAAAGAGAUGGCAUUGCCUCACAUGGCCCAGCCCCUCACCGUCCAAGAGGCAGGAGCUGGACCUGUUGCCUGUUGUCGAUGGAGGUG
Orcinus orca (killer whale) is the source of this 520-nucleotide long non-coding RNA. RefSeq lists it as uncharacterized. The record is from RefSeq and is a predicted model, not a curated record. The transcript has 3 exons. Lineage: Eukaryota; Metazoa; Chordata; Mammalia; Artiodactyla; Delphinidae.